This 445-nucleotide unclassified non-coding RNA is filed under the name Hevea brasiliensis (rubber tree). The record is from RNAcentral. Lineage: Eukaryota; Viridiplantae; Streptophyta; Magnoliopsida; Malpighiales; Euphorbiaceae.
AUCUUCACUUAGGAUAAUUGAUGUCCAUUCAAAUAUGUUUGGUGGUGAGAUUCCACCAGAGCUUUGUGUCCUUGAAGUUCUUUGCAUAUUGAACCUAGCAGACAAUAAGAUGAUAGGAAGCAUUCCUCCUUGUUUUGGCAAUUUUACUGCAAUGGCUUUCUCUGAGUUGGAGUUUCAUGAUAUUUGGGAAUUAUAUCCUUCCUAUGACGUCAUGGACUAUGAUGAGCAUGCUGCGGCUUAUGUGAAAGGAAGACAGCUAGAAUAUACGAAAACAAUUCGAUUUCUCUUUUCCAUUGACCUUUCAGGAAAUAAUUUUGUCGGGGAGAUUCCACAAGAGUUGACACUUCUUACGCGAUUGAGGAACUUGAAUUUAUCUAGAAACUAUUUGAAGGGGCAUAUACCUUCAAAGUUGGCAACUUAAAAUUGCUGGAAUCUCUUGAUUUGU